UACAGAGGUCCCAAGCGUUGUUCGGAUUCACUGGGCGUAAAGGGUGCGUAGGUGGCCAGGUAAGUUCGGUGUGAAAGCUCGGAGCUUAACUCCGAAAUGGCAUUGAAUACUAUCUGGCUAGAGGGUCGGAGGGGAGACUGGAAUUCUCGGUGUAGCAGUGAAAUGCGUAGAUAUCGAGAGGAACACCAGUGGCGAAAGGCGAAGUCUCUGGGACGACGCCUGACACUGAGGCACGAAAGCCAGGGGCAGCAAACAGG
This 257-nucleotide ribosomal RNA is filed under the name uncultured bacterium. RNAcentral describes it as "partial 16S ribosomal RNA". It matches the Rfam family "Bacterial small subunit ribosomal RNA", at positions 524 to 776 of the family's 1533-position model. The record is from RNAcentral.